RNAcentral lists this ribosomal RNA (488 nucleotides) under uncultured Lactococcus sp. RNAcentral's name for it is "bacterial SSU rRNA". It matches the Rfam family "Bacterial small subunit ribosomal RNA", at positions 998 to 1487 of the family's 1533-position model. The record is from RNAcentral. Lineage: Bacteria; Bacillati; Bacillota; Bacilli; Lactobacillales; Streptococcaceae.
UCCUAGAGAUAGGAAGUUCCUUCGGGACACGGGAUACAGGUGGUGCAUGGUUGUCGUCAGCUCGUGUCGUGAGAUGUUGGGUUAAGUCCCGCAACGAGCGCAACCCUUAUUGUUAGUUGCCAUCAUUAAGUUGGGCACUCUAGCGAGACUGCCGGUAAUAAACCGGAGGAAGGUGGGGAUGACGUCAAAUCAUCAUGCCCCUUAUGACCUGGGCUACACACGUGCUACAAUGGUUGGUACAACGAGUCGCAAGACAGUGAUGUCAAGCUAAUCUCUUAAAGCCAAUCUCAGUUCGGAUUGUAGGCUGCAACUCGCCUACAUGAAGUCGGAAUCGCUAGUAAUCGCGGAUCAGCACGCCGCGGUGAAUACGUUCCCGGGCCUUGUACACACCGCCCGUCACACCACGAGAGUUUGUAAUACCCAAAGCCGGUGAGCUAACCUUUUAGGAGGCAGCCGUCUAAGGUAGGAUAGAUGAUUGGGGUGAAGUC